CGGGGCGUGGCGCAGCUUGGUAGCGCGCUUCGUUCGGGACGAAGAGGUCGCUGGUUCAAAUCCAGUCGCCCCGACCA
RNAcentral lists this transfer RNA (77 nucleotides) under Hyphomicrobium sp. RNAcentral describes it as "tRNA-Pro". It matches the Rfam family "tRNA". Rfam says of the family: Transfer RNA (tRNA) molecules are approximately 80 nucleotides in length. Their secondary structure includes four short double-helical elements and three loops (D, anti-codon, and T loops). Further hydrogen bonds mediate the characteristic L-shaped molecular structure. tRNAs have two regions of fundamental functional importance: the anti-codon, which is responsible for specific mRNA codon recognition, and the 3' end, to which the tRNAs corresponding amino acid is attached (by aminoacyl-tRNA synthetases). tRNAs cope with the degeneracy of the genetic code in two manners: having more than one tRNA (with a specific anti-codon) for a particular amino acid; and 'wobble' base-pairing, i.e. permitting non-standard base-pairing at the 3rd anti-codon position. Lineage: Bacteria; Pseudomonadati; Pseudomonadota; Alphaproteobacteria; Hyphomicrobiales; Hyphomicrobiaceae. The record is from RNAcentral. RNAcentral also lists the same sequence under 5 other names.